ACGGAAGGCGGCAGUGGGGGAUAUUGCGCAAUGGGGGCAACCCUGACGCAGCAACGCCGCGUGCAGGAAGAAGGUCUUCGGAUUGUAAACUGUUGUCGCAAGGGAAGAAGACAGUGACGGUACCUUGUGAGAAAGUCACGGCUAACUACGUGCCAGCAGCCGCGGUAAUACGUAGGUGACAAGCGUUGUCCGGAUUUACUGGGUGUAAAGGGCGCGUAGGCGGGAUAGCAAGUCAGUCGUGAAAUACCGAGGCUCAACCACGGGGCUGCGAUUGAAACUGUUACUCUUGAGUAUCGGAGAGGAAAGCGGAAUUCCUAGUGUAGCGGUGAAAUGCGUAGAUAUUAGGAAGAACACCAGUGGCGAAGGCGGCUUUCUGGACUGUAACUGACGCUGAGGCUCGAAAGCGUGGGGAGCAAACAGGAUUAGAUACCCUGGUA
Molecule: ribosomal RNA, 437 nt
Filed under: uncultured Clostridium sp.
Lineage: Bacteria; Bacillati; Bacillota; Clostridia; Eubacteriales; Clostridiaceae
Description: partial 16S ribosomal RNA
Rfam family: Bacterial small subunit ribosomal RNA
Source: RNAcentral